Molecule: ribosomal RNA, 253 nt
Filed under: uncultured bacterium
Lineage: Bacteria
Also listed under: 1 other name
Description: partial 16S ribosomal RNA
Rfam family: Bacterial small subunit ribosomal RNA
Source: RNAcentral
UACGUAGGUGACAAGCGUUGUCCGGAUUUAUUGGGCGUAAAGCGAGCGCAGGCGGUCUUUUAAGUCUGAUGUGAAAGCCCACGGCUCAACCGUGGAUGGUCAUUGGAAACUGGGAGACUUGAAUGCAGAAGAGGAAAGUGGAAUUCCAUGUGUAGCGGUGAAAUGCGUAGAUAUAUGGAGGAACACCAGUGGCGAAGGCGACUUUCUGGUCUGUAAUUGACGCUGAGGCUCGAAAGCGUGGGGAGCAAACAGG